This 780-nucleotide ribosomal RNA is filed under the name Streptomyces sp. Its description in RNAcentral is "bacterial SSU rRNA". It matches the Rfam family "Bacterial small subunit ribosomal RNA", at positions 56 to 850 of the family's 1533-position model. Lineage: Bacteria; Bacillati; Actinomycetota; Actinomycetes; Kitasatosporales; Streptomycetaceae. The record is from RNAcentral.
UGCAGUCGACGAUGAAGCCGCUUCGGUGGUGGAUUAGUGGCGAACGGGUGAGUAACACGUGGGCAAUCUGCCCUGCACUCUGGGACAAGCCCUGGAAACGGGGUCUAAUACCGGAUACGACACAGGAAGGCAUCUUCUCUGUGUGGAAAGCUCCGGCGGUGCAGGAUGAGCCCGCGGCCUAUCAGCUUGUUGGUGGGGUGAUGGCCUACCAAGGCGACGACGGGUAGCCGGCCUGAGAGGGCGACCGGCCACACUGGGACUGAGACACGGCCCAGACUCCUACGGGAGGCAGCAGUGGGGAAUAUUGCACAAUGGGCGAAAGCCUGAUGCAGCGACGCCGCGUGAGGGAUGACGGCCUUCGGGUUGUAAACCUCUUUCAGCAGGGAAGAAGCGCAAGUGACGGUACCUGCAGAAGAAGCACCGGCUAACUACGUGCCAGCAGCCGCGGUAAUACGUAGGGUGCGAGCGUUGUCCGGAAUUAUUGGGCGUAAAGAGCUCGUAGGCGGCUUGUCACGUCGGAUGUGAAAGCCCGGGGCUUAACCCCGGGUCUGCAUUCGAUACGGGCAGGCUAGAGUUCGGUAGGGGAGAUCGGAAUUCCUGGUGUAGCGGUGAAAUGCGCAGAUAUCAGGAGGAACACCGGUGGCGAAGGCGGAUCUCUGGGCCGAUACUGACGCUGAGGAGCGAAAGCGUGGGGAGCGAACAGGAUUAGAUACCCUGGUAGUCCACGCCGUAAACGUUGGGAACUAGGUGUGGGCGACAUUCCACGUCGUCCGUGCCGCA